RNAcentral lists this transfer RNA (73 nucleotides) under Candidatus Roizmanbacteria bacterium RIFCSPHIGHO2_01_FULL_38_41. RNAcentral's name for it is "tRNA-Thr". It matches the Rfam family "tRNA". From Rfam's summary of the family: Transfer RNA (tRNA) molecules are approximately 80 nucleotides in length. Their secondary structure includes four short double-helical elements and three loops (D, anti-codon, and T loops). Lineage: Bacteria; Candidatus Roizmaniibacteriota. RNAcentral also lists the same sequence under 5 other names. The record is from RNAcentral.
GCCGCCUUAGCUCAGUUGGUAGAGCGCACGCUUCGUAAGCGUUAGGUCGACGGUUCGAAUCCGUCAGGCGGCU